UACGUAGGGGGCGAGCGUUGUCCGGAUUUAUUGGGCGUAAAGAGCGUGUAGGCGGCCAGGUAGGUCUGCUGUGAAAUCCGAGGCUCAACCUCGGACUUGCAGUGGGUACGGGCAGACUAGAGUGUGGGUAGGGGAGACUGGAAUUCCUGGUGUAGCGGUGGAAUGCGCAGAUAUCAGGAGGAACACCGAGUGGCGAAGGCAGGUCUCUGGGCCGAUACUGACGCUGAGGAGCGAAAGCGUGGGGAGCGAACAGG
This 254-nucleotide ribosomal RNA is filed under the name uncultured bacterium. RNAcentral describes it as "partial 16S ribosomal RNA". It matches the Rfam family "Bacterial small subunit ribosomal RNA", at positions 524 to 776 of the family's 1533-position model. The record is from RNAcentral.